GGAGAAAAAUCCUGAUCGCCAGCUAAGGCCCCAAAUCUGUGCUUAGUUCGAAAGGAAGUCAAGUUGCAGUGACAGCCAGGAUGUUGGCUUAGAAGCAGCCACCAUUUGAAGAGUGCGUAACAGCUCACUGGUCGAGGAACUUGGCGCCGAUAAUUAUCGGGAAUAAGCAUAGAGCCGAAGCUGCGGGCUCGAAAGAGCGGUAGGAGAGCGUUCCUGGGGCGGUGAAGCGGUUCCGAAAGGGGUCGUGGAGCGCCAGGAAGUGAAUAUGCCGGCUUGAGUAACGAUUAACAGGGUGAGAAUCCCUGUCGCCGUAUACCCAAGGUUUCCUGGGGAAGGUAAAUCCGCCCAGGGUUAGUCGGGACCUAAGGCAAGGCCGAAAGGCGUAGUCGAUGGACAUCAGGUUAAUAUUCCUGAACCGGUGUGGUCAACGGAUUCUUGAGAUCAACGGGACUGUUAGAUGUCCAGGCCGUAAGGCCGAUGUUGGUGGAUAGAGUUCCUAGAAAAGCCACACAUAGCCCGUACC
RNAcentral lists this ribosomal RNA (523 nucleotides) under uncultured bacterium. RNAcentral describes it as "bacterial LSU rRNA". It matches the Rfam family "Bacterial large subunit ribosomal RNA", at positions 1017 to 1648 of the family's 2925-position model. The record is from RNAcentral.